UUUCAUUCCUGCCAAACCAAUAAUCUGGACCCAUUCUGGUUCCCGUCCUUGCACGUGAGGUUGGAAAUUCCAAACAAAAGCAGGAGGUAGCCCUCACCUGGUGGGUAGCAUGGGUCACUGCACCCUGGGGCUGGAUUACCUUAUGGGCGUCCAUGAGGUUCAUGACCAGGUCGAGGUCCCCGUGCACGGGCUGGUCCUCGGCCAGCUGCGGCUCCACCUUGUACAGCCAGUCAACCAAAGCCUGCAGAGCAUCCAUGAACUGACCCGAAAACAGCAGGGCCUCCUCCAACUUGUGCUGCCUGAGAGAAACCAAACCUCACUGUUUUGGGGGAUCCCUUUUCUUUGACUGGCUCACAGUUCUGACUGCUGAAGGGAACACUGCUUGCACUCUACAGAGACAGGGCCCUCCAUGCUGGGCUGGUUCGAAACAGAUAAACAGUGACAAAGAGCUAUGCCUAGACAUUUUGAACCAAACUGCUCUCUAGAAUGGAUUUAGUACAGGAAACAAGUGCAGAUACCCUUCUGGCAUCUUAGGAGUCCAAUGGUUAUAUAUGGAUACACCCUAAUGCCCCAAGUUCUGUGCUAAUCACCUUACACCACUCAGGUGGAGGAGGACAGUUUCAGCCACGGUCUGAGUCAGGAGUUGUGUGACCCUGGGCUUUCUCUUCACCUCUGUGAACCUCAGUCACCUCAUCCAAAAAAUUGUGGAGCACAAUAUAAAGAUAUCCUAAUACUUAGCAUAGCAUAGUGGGCACCCAGGGACAGGAGUACAACUUAUGGAACCAAACUCAAAAGCUUCAAAUCCCAGCUCUGCUGCUUAGUAGCUGAGUGACCUUGGGGGAGUUAAAAACCCUCUUUAUGAUAGUUUCCUCAUGUGUAAAAUGGGAAUAACAGAGCCCGCCUCAGUGGUUGUCAGGUGGAUUAAGUGAUUAGUAGCCCCUUUUUGGCACAUGCUCAUUAGUGAUUGCCCUGUCAAGGGCAGGUAUUACAAUGGUUACACGAGGUGCUAUGUGCAGAGGCUUUGCUCAGUGCCUGACAGUGAGAGAACUGACACAGCCAUCAGUGUCACAACUUAGUCACUGACAGAGAAGUGUAGUUACUAAUCUUCUGUUGCUAUUGGCUUGAGUUAUGGCCUUCUUGCUAAUACGGUAAGGUUCAAGUUUAAAAUGAGAAUUUUAAUACAUUUUAUUCAACUUCACAACUUGCAUUGAAUGAACCAGAGAUAUUGAGAUGCUACAAAACCUGUUCUGAUGCAUUAGCUUUAUUGCCAUUUUAUGGAAUCCAAUUAACAGUCUUUGUUAGUUUCAGGAUGACAUACAGACCCACAAAGCAAAUAUUCGUACUCACCUCUCCACAGACUUGCCACAAACAGUAUCCCAUUUGUCUCUGACUUCUCCCAGUAAAUUGUCAAGUUUCUGAGUGUCAUCAGGAAGCAAAGUCUUUUCUUUCAGGGCUCUACCAGUUCGAAUUGUGGUAUCAUACACAGGCUGUUUGCCACCAAGGGUUUUCUGAAAUUCCUGUUUCCAAAGAGAACAGAAAGAAUCCACGCUAAAAGAUGAUGUCUUGAUUUGGAACAAAGAAAAUUUUUCAGUGUUCAGGUUGGUAAUGGAUGUCACUACUUCUUGAGUUAACAACAGCUUAUCCUCGAGAAAUUUAAAAAUUUUGGGUGCGCCUGGGUGGCCUACUCAGUUAAGCAUCUGAUUCUUGAUUUCGGUUCAGGUCAUGAUUGCACGAUUAAUGAGAUUGAGACCUACAUUGGGCUCUGUGCUGACACCAUGGAGCCUGCUUGGGAUUCUGUCU
Long non-coding RNA from Lynx canadensis (Canada lynx), 1800 nucleotides. The record is from Ensembl. Lineage: Eukaryota; Metazoa; Chordata; Mammalia; Carnivora; Felidae.